This 253-nucleotide ribosomal RNA is filed under the name uncultured bacterium. RNAcentral describes it as "partial 16S ribosomal RNA". It matches the Rfam family "Bacterial small subunit ribosomal RNA", at positions 524 to 776 of the family's 1533-position model. The record is from RNAcentral.
CACGUAGGAGGCGAGCGUUGUCCGGAAUCAUUGGGCGUAAAGAGCGCGCAGGCGGCUUGGCAAGUCGGGUGUGAAAUCCCGGGGCUCAACCCCGGGACUGCAUUCGAUACUGUCAGGCUAGAGGUAGGUAGGGGAGAUCGGAAUUCCUGGUGUAGCGGUGAAAUGCGCAGAUAUCAGGAGGAACACCGGUGGCGAAGGCGGAUCUCUGGGCCUUACCUGACGCUCAGGCGCGAAAGCUAGGGGAGCAAACGGG